RNAcentral lists this ribosomal RNA (406 nucleotides) under uncultured bacterium. Its description in RNAcentral is "bacterial SSU rRNA". It matches the Rfam family "Bacterial small subunit ribosomal RNA", at positions 505 to 916 of the family's 1533-position model. The record is from RNAcentral.
GUGCCAGCCGCCGCGGUAAGACGUAGGGGGCGAGCGUUGUCCGGAAUUACUGGGCGUAAAGAGCACGUAGGCGGAUGUUUAAGUCAGGUGUGAAAGACCGCAGCCCAACUGCGGGGUUGCACUUGAAACUGAAUGUCUUGAGGGCAGGAGAGGUCAGUAGAAUUCCUGGUGUAGCGGUGAAAUGCGUAGAAAUCGGGAGGAAUACCAGUGGCGAAGGCGACUGACUGGACUGACCCUGACGCUGAGGUGCGAAAGCGUGGGUAGCAAACAGGAUUAGAUACCCUGGUAGUCCACGCCGUAAACGAUGGAUACUAGGUGUGGGAGGUAUCGACCCCUUCCGUGCCGCAGCAAACGCAAUAAGUAUCCCGCCUGGGGAGUACGGUCGCAAGGCUGAAACUCAAGACGG